GUGGUACUCAGUGGUCCCCAGAGCCAGGCAAGCAAUCCGCACCCACUGCCCCGACUUGUACUCAAAGCCCUGGGGCCGCUGGAACCGCAAGCUCACCAGCUUGUCACCCCCAUAGAUGAUUGCUGGGACCAGGAAGAAGAUAUGGAAACGGGGCAGCUGGAUCAGAGCAAAGCUACCGUGGAUGAUGAGCUGGAUGGGGGAAAGAGCUCUACUCAGACCUAGCGACACCCGCAGCAGAGUGUGGGGCCAGCUCAGGCCUUAGACCCUGCAUCCUUCCCUGCUGGUAUAUCCAACCCCCACCUUACCACAUACCAUGCUCCUUUCAGGACGCAAAACCUCACCACUCCCAACUCCAUCCUCCAUAGCAUUCCAUGAGGAAUGAGAGUAUUUUCCAGAUCUCUGACACCACUCUAGACCAAGCGAUGUCGCCUGUCACCUGGACUCAUGCAGCAGCCUUCCAGUGGAAGUAGGGCUUUCACUUGUCUUGCCUCACUAUAAUCCUGUCUCUUCAAGGCAGCCAGUGUGACUUUCUAAAGUUCAUCGUAUCAUGUUCAUCCCCAGCUUUAAAAGCUUUGGUGGCCUUCCCAUUGCACUACAAGGCCUCGCAAGUACUCUGACCUCUAGCUGCUAGCCAUUCUCCCCUCCCUGUUCCUCAUACAUGGCAAGUCCUUUCUGCUUUAGGACCUUUGCAUCUCCUGCCUGGAAUGUCCUUCUCCUGGUUCUUCCCAUGGCUAGCUCAAUCUCAUUUUUCAGGUCUCAGUAGAAACACCACCUCCUCAGGCCUCCGUUCAGUCCUAUCUACCACAUCUGCCGGUUGACUCUCUUAGAGUAUGCAUUGUCAUGCUUAUACCCAUUACUGGAGAUAGUAAAAAAAAGAAAAAACAAACAAACAAAAAACAGAGUAUGCAUUGUCA
Molecule: long non-coding RNA, 914 nt
Organism: Sapajus apella (tufted capuchin)
Lineage: Eukaryota; Metazoa; Chordata; Mammalia; Primates; Cebidae
Exons: 2
Source: RefSeq, a predicted model, not a curated record